UACAGAGGGUGCGAGCGUUAAUCGGAAUAACUGGGCGUAAAGCGUGCGUAGACGGCUAUCUAAGUCGGGUGUGAAAGCCCCGGGCUCAACCUGGGAAUUGCAUUCGAGACUGAAUAGCUAGGGUACGGUAGAGGGAAGCGGAAUUUCCGGUGUAGCGGUGAAAUGCGUAGAUAUCGGAAGGAACAUCAGUGGCGAAAGCGGCUUCCUGGACCAGUACCGACGUUCAGGCACGAAAGCGUGGGGAGCGAUCCGG
Molecule: ribosomal RNA, 253 nt
Filed under: uncultured bacterium
Lineage: Bacteria
Description: partial 16S ribosomal RNA
Rfam family: Bacterial small subunit ribosomal RNA
Source: RNAcentral